This is an RNA transcript of Glycine soja, 1864 nucleotides long. It is a transcript of the gene named chaperone protein dnaJ 15-like, with no coding region annotated. Lineage: Eukaryota; Viridiplantae; Streptophyta; Magnoliopsida; Fabales; Fabaceae. The record is from RefSeq and is a predicted model, not a curated record. The transcript is spliced from 10 exons.
AUGGGUGGUCUUUUUGAGGCUAUAACUGGUUAUGGUCUUGGUGGGUCUUCUAUGGCUUUGUUUGGAAGAGUUGGUGGAGGAUCCAAGAAAUCCAGCUGUAAGAAAUAUAAUCCUGAAACUAGGCCCCCUUAUUUGGUUGACCCAAAAAAGAGAAGGCAGUAUGACAGUGCUGGAUUUGAGGCCCUUGAUGCGGAUAGCAUGGACAUGGAAAUUGAUUUAUCUAAUCUUGGGACUGUGAACACAAUGUUUACAGCUUUAUUCAGCAAAAUGGGUGUCCCUAUCAAGACUACCAUUUCAGCUAAUGUUCUUGAAGAAGCUCUGAAUGGAACAGUUACAAUCAGACCCCUUCCAAUUGUUCUACUUUGAACAAGAUGCAAAUGGAGGCUAUGGUUUAGCAUUGCAGGAAGAUAGUGAGAAGACUGGCAAGGUGACAUCUGCAGGAAUGUAUUUCUUACAUUUUCAAGUGUAUAGAAUGGAUUCGACGGUGAAUGCGUUAGCAAUGGCCAAGGAUCCUGAAGGGGCCUUCUUUAAAAGGUUGGAAGGUCUUCAGCCUUGUGAAGUCUCGGAACUAAAGCCUGGCACUCAUAUAUUUGCUGUUUAUGGAGAUAACUUCUUUAAGUCUGCUAGCUAUAUGAUUGAGGCAGUAUGUGCAAAAUCAUAUGAAGAUACCACCCAAAAACUGAAGGACAUUGAAGCUCAAAUUUUAAGAAAGAGGAAUGAGCUACGCCAAUUUGAAGCAGAAUAUAGAAAGGUUAUUAUUCUCUUAAGUAAUCAGCUCUCAGGAUGCGUCAUCUGUGAUCAAGUAUGCAAAAAGCCAUAAGAAGCCAACAACCACCAUCAAAUUUCAACGAACAUUUGUUGGAAUAAAGCCAGCACCAGCUGUUACCAUUUACUUUUCAAGAGGUCCUUCAGCAAGCUAUCAUGGGGUCUUGAAGCCUGACAUAAUGGCACCUAGCUCUAAUGUUCUUGCUGCUUAUGUUCCUACAGAACUAGUAGCAACAAUUGGCAACAAGGUGAUGUUAUCUAGUGGCUACAAUUUGCUGUCUGGAACAUCCAUGGCAUGCCCUCAUGCUUCUGGUGUUGCUGCUCUUUUGAAAGCUGCACACACUAAAUGGAGUGCUGCUGCUAUAAGGUUUAUGUCAACAAAAGUCGGAAGGAGUUGAUAGGCCGCAAUGGUCCACAUUUAGUCAUGUUAACUACUCAGGUUCUCUUUCAUCCACAUUUGGUAGCAAGGCUACUCACUGUAAGGUCGAUUCUAGAAGAAAAAUGCUACUCACUGUGUCAUGCAAUGCAGAAGACAUGUUGCUUCCACGCGGUAAUUUUACAUUUUCUGAUACUUGCUGUGAAGAAACUAGACAAGAGAGUUUCUAAUCACCAAACAAAUGAUGAGUUUCUCGAAUUGAUAAACAGUAUUGACAUAAUCCGGCAUCCAAAUAUUGUUGAGCUUAUUGGGUACUGUGCAUAGCAUGGCCAAAGGCUUCUUAUUUAUGAGUAUUGCAGUAAUGGGUCGUUGCAGGAUGCACUCCAUUCAGAUGAUGAAUUCAAAACAAGAUUGUCAUGGAAUAGUAGGUACAAGUAAACUGAAUUUUACCUACAGUAGACCGUAGGUACAAGUAAACUGACUUUUACCUACAGUUAGAGAUUAUAGGUAUAAAUUAAUAUUUUUUACCUACACAUUUGAAAUAGUAGGUGUUACCUAUAAUGAUAGUUAAAUUUGACUGUAGGUAAAAAUAUAUCCGUAGGUAAAGCCUAUAGUGACAGACUAUUAGUUGUCACUGUAUACCCCCUCAAAGUUGACGCAAAAAACGUCUGUAGGACAAAGUCCUUUAUACAUCUACCUACGGAUUUUGGACUUCUAGUGAUA